AGCGAACGCUGGCGGCAGGCUUAACACAUGCAAGUCGAGCGGGCACUUCGGUGUCAGCGGCAGACGGGUGAGUAACACGUGGGAACGUGCCCUUCGGUUCGGAAUAACUCAGGGAAACUUGAGCUAAUACCGGAUACGCCCCUUUGGGGAAAGGUUUACUGCCGAAGGAUCGGCCCGCGUCUGAUUAGCUAGUUGGUGGGGUAAUGGCCUACCAAGGCGACGAUCAGUAGCUGGUCUGAGAGGAUGAUCAGCCACACUGGGACUGAGACACGGCCCAGACUCCUACGGGAGGCAGCAGUGGGGAAUAUUGGACAAUGGGCGCAAGCCUGAUCCAGCCAUGCCGCGUGAGUGAUGAAGGCCUUAGGGUUGUAAAGCUCUUUCG
This 382-nucleotide ribosomal RNA is filed under the name uncultured bacterium. Its description in RNAcentral is "bacterial SSU rRNA". It matches the Rfam family "Bacterial small subunit ribosomal RNA", at positions 29 to 438 of the family's 1533-position model. The record is from RNAcentral.